GACGAACGCUGGCGGCGUGCUUAACACAUGCAAGUCGAACGGAAAGGCCCUGCUUUUGUGGGGUGCUCGAGUGGCGAACGGGUGAGUAAAACGUGAGUAACCUGCCCUUAUCUUUGUGAUAACUUCAGGAAACUGGGGCUCAUACCGGAUAGGAUCUCUUGCUGCAUGGUGGUGGUUGGUAAGUUUCGGCGGUUGGGUAUGGUCUCGCGGCUUACGAGCUUCUUUGUGGGGUAGUGGCUUACCAAGGCUUUGACGGGUAGGCGGCAUGAGAGGGUGACCAGCCACAUGGGGCCUGAGAGAGGGAGCAGACUGCAACGGGAGGCAGCAGGGGGGAGUCUUGCAGAAUGGGGGCAAGCGAGAUGCAGCAACGCCGCGUGCGGGAUGACGGCUUUCUAGGUGUAAACCGCUUUCGCCUGUGACGAAGCGUGAGUGACGGUAAUGGGUAAAGAAGCACCGGCUAACUACGUG
RNAcentral lists this ribosomal RNA (468 nucleotides) under uncultured bacterium. RNAcentral's name for it is "partial 16S ribosomal RNA". It matches the Rfam family "Bacterial small subunit ribosomal RNA", at positions 28 to 507 of the family's 1533-position model. The record is from RNAcentral.